AGCCCUGCAAUUUCCACAUGGGCGGGUGAUUUCAGAACGAUGGACAGAGCUGUUCGGCCAGCCUACAGGGAAGAAAGAAAAGGAGAAACAAUUUUAUCGUGUCUGCCUCCUGCCCCAGAGAAGGAUGAGGAUACUGAAGGUCGGUGAAGCUUCAUAAACUGCCUGAGUGAAGAUGAAAUGAGACCAGAACUCAGGUAAUCAACUGUGGCUUCUCAAAGAGUAUCUUCACAGAGGACUGCAAAAAGGACAAACCAAAUGCCUCAAGACCAUUUGGGAGCCUGCUGACAUGGUCAAGGUAAGAGAAGCUAAAGGCUGACAUGGUCAAGGUAAGAGAAAGGAAUGAAGGGAAAGGGACAAGUUAAAGAAAAAGGGUGCAGUUGAUGGUGCUACCUGGGGUAGCUUCUGGGGGGCUGCUUUCUCCCCACAUGUGAUGACAUAUUGGGCCUGAGUUCUUCCCAC
This is a long non-coding RNA of Panthera uncia (snow leopard), 459 nucleotides long. RefSeq lists it as uncharacterized. The record is from RefSeq and is a predicted model, not a curated record. NCBI's taxonomy places the organism in Eukaryota, Metazoa, Chordata, Mammalia, Carnivora, Felidae. The transcript has 3 exons.